Molecule: non-coding RNA, 775 nt
Organism: Prunus avium (sweet cherry)
Lineage: Eukaryota; Viridiplantae; Streptophyta; Magnoliopsida; Rosales; Rosaceae
Source: RefSeq, a predicted model, not a curated record
UCAGUCAUCUUCCAGUCUAAAGCUGCCGCUUGGUCCUGCCAUCCCAGAUUCCAUGUCACAAUGCAAGUCCGUACAAAGGGAAUCUCCUAGCACUAAGGAAGCUUUGACAGUUAAGCAACCAACGGGGGUAGUCUGCCGGCGAAAGGCUGGCCUGACACACGGCAACCUUUUGGUAUUAGUUGGAUAUGAUUCCUCUUUGGUAUACACCUUUUCUAUUUACCUCAAGUUUUUGACAGAGACACAGCCAUGCCAUCCCAUCCCAUCCAGAUUGACUUUUCUUCUUCAUAAAUGGCACCAUUUUGACAAAUGGUAGGAAAUCCUCUAGCAGCGUCAUUUCGUACAUACAGAUUAUAUGGUGAUAUAGCCCACACCGCCCACUCUAACAUAUGUACUACAACAUCAAAACACCUUCAAGUUUGGGCAUUGGAAGAAGGAUCUCUUUCUUUUCAAUUUGGUAAGGAAGCAGAGCAACUCCUACUUUGUGAUAUACCCAGCCAGCAGAAUACUUGGGAGGAAGCAGGAAGCCCAGCAACUUUUUCUCUUUCUUUUUUUCUCCUGUGUUUUAGUUUGUGGGCGAAAAUAAGAAAAGGUGACCUAAAAGGCUAGAAUUCUGCAUCAUUCACUACAUUUCAGCAAGUAUAGAGCAAUGCUCUGGACCAGGUUGCUACUAAGCUUACUCAAAAUUAACCAAAUGGUAAAUAUGAAGAUUACGAAACCAAAUUUACUUUUCAAAUUUCCUUGCAGAGCCGAAACAGAACAGUUACCCCAAAUUUAA